AGUGAACGCUGGCGGUAGGCCUAACACAUGCAAGUCGAACGGCCGCACAGUAAGAUCUCGCUCUUACGGGUGGCGAGUGGCGGACGGGUGAGGAAUACACCGGAAUCUACUCUUUCGUGGGGGAUAACGUAGGGAAACUUACGCUAAUACCGCAUACGACCUUCGGGUGAAAGCAGGGGAUCUUCGGACCUUGCGCGAUUGAAUGAGCCGAUGUCGGAUUAGCUAUUUGGUGGGGUAAAGGCCCACCAAGGCGACGAUCCGUAGCUGGUCUGAGAGGAUGAUCAGCAACACUGGAACUGAGACACGGUCCAGACUCCUACGGGAGGCAGCAGUGGGGAAUAUUGGACAAUGGGCGCAGGCCUGAUCCAGCCAGACCGCGUGGGUGAAGAAGGCUUUCGGGUUGUAAAGCCCUUUUGUUGGGAAGGAAAAGCAGCAGGUUAAUACCCCGCUGUUCUGACGGUACCCAAAGAAUAAGCACCGGCUAACUUCGUG
RNAcentral lists this ribosomal RNA (492 nucleotides) under uncultured bacterium. RNAcentral's name for it is "partial 16S ribosomal RNA". It matches the Rfam family "Bacterial small subunit ribosomal RNA", at positions 29 to 507 of the family's 1533-position model. The record is from RNAcentral.